AGUCUGCCUGCUGAACCGAAGAAAGAAAACCACAACUGAACAUCUUGUUAUGAUCUUGAUUCUUUCCCUGAAAACAAACUGGUAAAUUGAGAUGGAGACCUGGAACGGAUUGAGAAACUGCCUGUCUGUUCAUAGCAGAUUGGUUGUCCAGAUUGUUGAUAGUCUACUGACUCUGUUUAGGAAUGAGUAUACACAUACCACACCACUUUGGCACCAACUGAAUCAUUUGAAAGAAGAAAAAGGUGCAAUUCCUAAGGCAACUGAUUGACCCCCAUUGUCAUCUGUCUACCAUCGCUUCCUUUCCCACUUCCCAUUAGCUUCCCUGGCAAAUUGAAAUUAUAUCAAAAGGACACCUGUGGUGAAAUCACAGCGCAGAUCCCACCUUUAUGUACUUCCAUCCUAACAUCUGAUGCAAGAAGUAAGUUGUGGUGUUUGUGUCAUGAGGUGUGUUUGGUCCUCUGCCUCCCAUAGAUGCCAGUUCCUGCCAAAUCCCUCCCCCCAUGUAUACCCCUUCCAAAAGAAGACCUUUUCUUUCUAAAAAGUGAACACAGUUUAUAGAAGAAAUUUGUUUAACACAUCGGCAAAUAUUUGCAUGAUUUUUAGCUUCCUGUUGAAGUUCUUUUUCUCUCU
Candoia aspera is the source of this 630-nucleotide long non-coding RNA. RefSeq lists it as uncharacterized. The transcript is spliced from 3 exons. NCBI's taxonomy places the organism in Eukaryota, Metazoa, Chordata, Lepidosauria, Squamata, Candoiidae. The record is from RefSeq and is a predicted model, not a curated record.